AGGAGAGUUUGAUCCUGGCUCAGGAUGAACGCUAGCGGCAGGCCUAAUACAUGCAAGUCGAACGGUAAAUGCCCCUUCGGGGGUAUGAGAGUGGCGCACGGGUGCGUAACGCGUAUGCAACCCACCCGCUGUCGGGGGAUAGCCCGGAGAAAUUCGGAUUAAUACCCCAUGAGGAGUUCUGGAGGCAUCUCCGGGAUUUCAAAACUACGGCGACGCGGCGGGGGACGGGCAUGCGUCCCAUUAGAUAGUUGGCGGGGCGACGGCCCACCAAGUCGACGAUGGGUAGGGGAUCUGAGAGGACGGUCCCCCACACUGGUACUGAGACACGGACCAGACUCCUGCGGGAGGCAGCAGUAAGGGAUAUUGGGCAAUGGGGGGAACCCUGACCCAGCCAUGCCGCGUGAGGGAAUGAGGCCCUACGGGUCGUGAACCUCUUUUGUCCAGGGACAAGGGCCCCCACGGGAUGGGGGCUUGAGGGUACUGGAAGAAUAAGCAUCGGCUAACUCCGUGCCAGCAGCCGCGGUAAUACGGAGGAUGCGAGCGUUAUCCGGAUUCAUUGGGUUUAAAGGGUGCGCAGGCGGCCUUGCAAGUCAGCGGUGAAAGCCCGGGGCCCAACCCCGGAAGUGCCGUUGAUACUGUAGGGCUGGAAUGCGGUCGAGGCGGGCGGAACGUGGCGUGUAGCGGUGAAAUGCGUAGAUAUGCCACAGAACGCCGAUGGCGAAGGCAGCUCGCCAGGCCUGCAUUGACGCUCGGGCACGAAAGCGUGGGGAUCGAACAGGAUUAGAUACCCUGGUAGUCCCCU
This 802-nucleotide ribosomal RNA is filed under the name uncultured Bacteroidota bacterium. Its description in RNAcentral is "bacterial SSU rRNA". It matches the Rfam family "Bacterial small subunit ribosomal RNA", at positions 1 to 799 of the family's 1533-position model. Lineage: Bacteria; Pseudomonadati; Bacteroidota. The record is from RNAcentral.